This is a long non-coding RNA of Heterocephalus glaber (naked mole-rat), 647 nucleotides long. Lineage: Eukaryota; Metazoa; Chordata; Mammalia; Rodentia; Bathyergidae. The record is from Ensembl.
CCUACUUUGAACAAGUACCAUACAGAGAUUGGGGUAAGGGUGAGUGUAGAUGCUAAUGCACAGCCACGUGUAAUGAUGCCUUGUCUACUUUUCCACCAGAGACAGGAUCGGCUUCAAAGCAACUUCUGUGUUUCUGGUACUAAAAGGCAAGAAUCCCUGAACGUCUGCAGCUUACCCAGAAGGAGCCUGGGAUGGUCAGUGAAUUUGAGACUGGAUGUCAACAUGGCCUGGGAGAGGCAGGAAGCAUGAGGUUUGGAUUAGCUAUGGGUUGAGUGGCUUUCCUCUGCCAAGCCUUUCUGCCAUGAUAUUUCUGCUUUGGAUCCAGCUAUCCAUGGACUUCUAUCUCUGAAACUGUAUCACAGGAUGAAAAACAGCAACUUCUGAGGAAUGGAAAGCAAACAAUUGGAGCCCUAUUAGUUUACUGAUAUUGCUGUGGCAAAGUGGAACAGCUCAUUGUUACAGCCAAGUGCUUCAGCUCAAGUGCUAUAGCUACAGCAAUGUAAAGACUUGAAAAUCAGAAAGUUACUCAAAGAGAUGGAAAAAAAUCUUUAUUGCUGGCUGGCUCAGAGGAGGUAGCCCACUCGGAAUUCUGAGUGCUGAGUAGAAAUGGAAGAAGCCUUAUAUAGAGAUCUACCAGGUAGGGGGAU